This 233-nucleotide long non-coding RNA is filed under the name Theobroma cacao (cacao). RNAcentral describes it as "long non-coding RNA (TCAC_LNC002360)". The record is from RNAcentral. Lineage: Eukaryota; Viridiplantae; Streptophyta; Magnoliopsida; Malvales; Malvaceae.
ACUACUACUACUACUCCCACAGCAUUGCCAAUUCCCUUUCAUUCUAUCGAAAAACCCAAAAAGUCGAAUCUAUAAUCGAAGAGGGUAAAACGUAGCUCGCCGCUAGCGCUGGGGCUGGAGUCAAACGAGGGCGCCCCAACCCUCCGACCAGAAAACAAAGUGAAACAAUCACGCAAUUAAAAAUUAAAUAAAACAAAAAACAACCACAUACUAGUAUUACUGCAUAGAAAUUA